Salmo salar (Atlantic salmon) is the source of this 58-nucleotide non-coding RNA. The record is from Rfam. Lineage: Eukaryota; Metazoa; Chordata; Actinopteri; Salmoniformes; Salmonidae.
UGGCUCAGUUGGUAGGGCAUGGUGUUUGCAACGCCAGGGUUGUGGGUUCGAUUCCCAC